This 474-nucleotide ribosomal RNA is filed under the name Cryptosporidium sp. shrew genotype II. Its description in RNAcentral is "SSU rRNA". It matches the Rfam family "Eukaryotic small subunit ribosomal RNA", at positions 514 to 1024 of the family's 1831-position model. The record is from RNAcentral. Lineage: Eukaryota; Apicomplexa; Conoidasida; Eucoccidiorida; Cryptosporidiidae.
AUGAGUUAAGUAUAAACCCCUUAACAAGUAUCAAUUGGAGGGCAAGUCUGGUGCCAGCAGCCGCGGUAAUUCCAGCUCCAAUAGCGUAUAUUAAAGUUGUUGCAGUUAAAAAGCUCGUAGUUGGAUUUCUGUUAAUACUUGCAUGUGCUAUCUUCGAUACGCGUGCGAUAUUAGCAUCAUCCGCGUCACCUUCGGUGUGCGGAACUUUACUUUGAGAAAAUUAGAGUGCUUAAAGCAGGCUUUUGCCUUGAAUACUCCAGCAUGGAAUAAUAUGAAGGAUUUUUAUCUUUCUUAUUGGUUCUAAGAUAAAAAUAAUGGUUAAUAGGGACAGUUGGGGGCAUUUGUAUUUAACAGUCAGAGGUGAAAUUCUUAGAUUUGUUAAAGACAAACUAGUGCGAAAGCAUUUGCCAAGGAUGUUCUCAUUAAUCAAGAACGAAAGUUAGGGGAUCGAAGACGAUCAGAUACCGUCGUAGU